Callorhinus ursinus (northern fur seal) is the source of this 2187-nucleotide long non-coding RNA. RefSeq lists it as uncharacterized. Lineage: Eukaryota; Metazoa; Chordata; Mammalia; Carnivora; Otariidae. The record is from RefSeq and is a predicted model, not a curated record.
GUGUACUGUAUGGUGACUGACAUAAUUUAAAUAAAAUAAAAUGAACGCAAUAAUUAUAGGCAAACCUUGAGUGUCAGCUGGUCUUCCAAGUGAUGUAUAUGGAUUGAUCACACGAAAUUCACACCCCCCUCCUGAUUCAUAAACACGCUUCCACAGGAGAGCAGGGAUGCAGACAUUACUGUUGCCUCUACUUUCACAGGAGCUAGAGAGGAAGAGUUUCCAGAGCGCUGAUCUGGGAAAUUGGGGAAGGGUCUACGGGCCCAGCAUGAUUGUAGCAGAUGUCGAUGCUGGGUAUAGCUCUCCACUCAAACCGUAAAGAUGCUAUGGGGUUCAGAGGAGAGGGGUCCUCCCCAGAGCUCCUGCUUGAGGACAGUGAUGCAUAUGGAAAAUGGGCCAGGAGAGCAAGGAGUCUGCAGAUCAUCUCCCACUCAGGAUGGUGGCACCCCAAUUCGCAUGUAAAGUAGGAAACCCCUUUAUCAGGCACUGUCCCUCUUUUUCUGUGAUACGAUUGUUUGCUGUGAAAUACCCCUCAUCUGAUAUUCAUGUGGCUCUUCAAGCUUUCCUGCAUCUUCCCCACUGGAGACUUAGUGCUUUCCCUUCCUGUACUGCAGCUUUUGGAAGUGAGUAUUUUCAGUGCCCGUCCAUGUGGUGGAGCCCAAGUCCCCGCUCUGAUGUCCACCUUGUGAUAUCAUCUGAUAAGUAAAGUAAACCGGGAGGGGCAUUUCCUCAACUGCAUGUUGGCAACAAGACGCAUCAUGCGUGUUCUCCUCCUGGUUUGUGCUACUCCAUCUCGUUGACAGUAUUCCAGAAAUAGACGUUGGAGUGGUUAGAGAUCCACGAUGCAGAGCCUAGUCACCCCCAGAUUGUCAAUCAAAGAUAGUGGGCACGCUUUCCGGAAGCUAUCGAAGCAGACAUCUGAACGAGACUGAGACACUUCAGCAGGAUUCCCCGGCAUCAGCUCACCCCUGAUGCAUGAGCAACAUGUACUUACUAUCUUACGCCCACAUUUUGGGAAUAAUGAACUGAUGAUCAGAGCAGGGGCAAGGUUCAGAUGGAAAUAAGUCUGGACAGGUUAGCCAGGCUCACUCUACAGAGCCUUGAAUGCGUGACUCAGCAGCAAGGACCAUCUCGGGAGAAAGAAUUGGAGAUCCACAGAGGAUUUUCCAAAGCAGAGCAGUACAGUCCGUCAUGGGUGUGAGAACACCCUCUCUGGGGACAGUGUGGCGGACAGUGUGUGGCUCUGCCCUGUGAUUUAGAUCUUAGGCUAUUGGGAAAUUAUGCUUUCUGUUAGUGUUUUCAGACAAGAGCUGCUGAGAGAAGACCCCAGUUUUCCUUUUAAGGAACAUGGUCAAAAAUAUGGAAGCAAAAGAAUAAGACAUGCGAUCGUUGUUUAAUUUAUGAAAUAUGAAGGGAAAGGGAAGAUGAAAGUACAUCCUCUGAAAAACGGGAGAUGUGAGAGUUCAAACAGCAGACAUAUAGACAGAUAGCUGGAUGGCAGAAUAAGAGUUCCUGCCAUCAUGCCCCAGAUCGUCGAAGUGGACAACCCAAAUCAGAGAUGACCAUGCCCAGUCUCCGUAGUAGCCCCAGGCCCGCACCGAUGAUCUCCAACUUGGUUCGGCUUACCGGGAAUGACAGGUCCUGACUCAUUCGAACCAGUUUUUAAUUCCUAACCACACAGCCCAUGACACUGAAGUGGCUGUUCAGAGAGCCAGCUUCUUUCCUGGGACGUGGCUCCUUGUCUGAUCAGACUCAGGUGAGUCUCCGCAGGUAGAUAGUGAUCCUGUUUGAGGCACCUCAGUGCCAUCAUGUGCGUAGGUGCUGUGUCAGAUCCGAGGUGACGUUGGAUGAUGCUCAGGAUAGAGUGUACACUAUGGCUGUUCCAUCCCACUUCAGCCCCAUCUCACUAAGGUGUCUGCAGAAUAGGAGCAGGUUACAGAGAGAAACCUGGUCUUUACCAGGAACAACACGUGGACCCCGAGUUGACAGACUAGCAUCAUGGAGAACACCACCAGUGCUCCAGAUGGUGGUUUCCAUCCUGAACAAAACCUUCCACGUCACCGUGUUGUUUACCACCUUAGGAUGCCGUGGGAUUCUUUCCCUUCCUUUAUUUAUAGGCUGAAAUAUAACUUCGCCUCCUUAAAUAAUAUAUGCUUCUUUUUUGAACUUAUGUAUAAAAUGGAAUAACUC